GCUCAGAUUGAACGCUGGCGGCAUGCUUUACACAUGCAAGUCGAACGGUAACAGGCCGCAAGGUGCUGACGAGUGGCGAACGGGUGAGUAAUGCAUCGGAACGUGCCCAGUCGUGGGGGAUAACGCAGCGAAAGCUGCGCUAAUACCGCAUACGAUCUAUGGAUGAAAGCGGGGGACCGUAAGGCCUCGCGCGAUUGGAGCGGCCGAUGUCAGAUUAGGUAGUUGGUGGGGUAAAGGCUCACCAAGCCAACGAUCUGUAGCUGGUCUGAGAGGACGACCAGCCACACUGGGACUGAGACACGGCCCAGACUCCUACGGGAGGCAGCAGUGGGGAAUUUUGGACAAUGGGCGCAAGCCUGAUCCAGCAAUGCCGCGUGCAGGAAGAAGGCCUUCGGGUUGUAAACUGCUUUUGUACGGAACGAAACGGUCCUGGUUAAUACCCGGGGCUAAUGACGGUACCGUAAGAAUAAGCACCGGCUAACUACGUGCCAGCAGCCGCGGUAAUACGUAGGGUGCAAGCGUUAAUCGGAAUUACUGGGCGUAAAGCGUGCGCAGGCGGUUUUGUAAGACAGGCGUGAAAUCCCCGGGCUUAACCUGGGAAUUGCGCUUGUGACUGCAAAGCUGGAGUGCGGCAGAGGGG
Molecule: ribosomal RNA, 640 nt
Filed under: Hydrogenophaga sp. HTCC329
Lineage: Bacteria; Pseudomonadati; Pseudomonadota; Betaproteobacteria; Burkholderiales; Comamonadaceae
Description: bacterial SSU rRNA
Rfam family: Bacterial small subunit ribosomal RNA
Source: RNAcentral